This 253-nucleotide ribosomal RNA is filed under the name uncultured bacterium. RNAcentral's name for it is "partial 16S ribosomal RNA". It matches the Rfam family "Bacterial small subunit ribosomal RNA", at positions 524 to 776 of the family's 1533-position model. The record is from RNAcentral.
UACAGAAGGUGCAAGCGUUACUCGGAAUUACUGGGCGUAAAGGGUGCGUAGGUGGUUUAAUAAGUUAAGUGUGAAAGCCCCGGGCUUAACCUGGGAACUGCGCUUAAUACUGUUGGACUAGAGUAUUGUAGAGGAAGGUGGAAUUUCCAGUGUAGCGGUGAAAUGCGUAGGUAUUGGAAGGAACAUCAGUGGCGAAGGCGACUUUCUGGACAGGUACUGACACUGAGGCACGAAAGCAUGGGGAGCAAACAGG